GUCUCGGAUAGCUUAACUUAAGGGUAGAGCAGUUGAUGCGACACCAAAAGAUCCAGGUUCGAUUCCUGGUCUGAACA
RNAcentral lists this transfer RNA (77 nucleotides) under Cotesia glomerata. Its description in RNAcentral is "tRNA-Ser". The record is from RNAcentral. Lineage: Eukaryota; Metazoa; Arthropoda; Insecta; Hymenoptera; Braconidae.